GAUGAACGCUGGCGGCGUGCCUAAUACAUGCAAGUCGAACGGGGUUGUUGUAGCAAUACGACAACUUAGUGGCGAACGGGUGAGUAACGCGUUGGUGACCUGCCCCGAAGAGGGGGAUAACAGUCCGAAAGGACUGCUAAUACCCCAUGUGGUCUCAGGGAUUAGAUGCCCUGAGUCUAAAGGAGUAAUCCACUUUGGGAGGGACCUGCGUCCCAUCAGCUAGUUGGUAAGGUAACGGCCUACCAAGGCUUCGACGGGUAGGGGACCUGAGAGGGUGGCCCCCCACAAUGGAACUGAAACACGGUCCAUACACCUACGGGUGGCAG
Molecule: ribosomal RNA, 326 nt
Filed under: uncultured Chloroflexota bacterium
Lineage: Bacteria; Bacillati; Chloroflexota
Description: bacterial SSU rRNA
Rfam family: Bacterial small subunit ribosomal RNA
Source: RNAcentral